RNAcentral lists this ribosomal RNA (387 nucleotides) under Triticum aestivum (bread wheat). Its description in RNAcentral is "partial small subunit ribosomal RNA". The record is from RNAcentral. Lineage: Eukaryota; Viridiplantae; Streptophyta; Magnoliopsida; Poales; Poaceae.
AUGCUGAUUAAUUCAGCAUGCACAGUGAGAAUAAUAAAACAGGAAAAGCAUUCGAUUGCAUUUUGCAUUAGAACGACUAAACUUUCCACCAUGCAACAAACAGCGAUCUUUACAGCACCACUAUAUAAACUGGCAAGUGAAAUAAAAGAUACAAUAGAAUCAUCAAGCAAACGCUCACAUGAUGGUUGUAUAAGCAAGCGUGUUCCUCCUGCAGCAAGGGCAUCUUCCUCCUUGAGCUUGGCUUCCUUUCGCAAAAUGAGCAAAUAUUUCAGUCUGCUGCAAGAGGUUUAUCUCAAUGGUAGGACGACAAGGGUACAGAACAUACCAUGUCAGCAUCAAUGGAAGCGUUUUGGCUAUCCAGUAUUUCCUGGAUCUUCUGCUUCUUGA